AGUCUGGUGCCAGCAGCCGCGGUAAUUCCAGCACCAGUAGCGUAUACCUAUCUUGUUGCAGUUAAAAAGCUCGUAGCUGAAACUUGGGACUGAGCGGCAGGGUCUGCCGGGACGGUGUGUACCAGUCGCUCUUUCCUUCCUUCCGGUUUUUGCUUGCGUGUGGGACUUCACUGUUCCGCCGUGUAGCUCCGGAUCUUUCACUGUGAAUAAAGUAACGCGCUCUAAGCAGGCCUAAUUAUGCCUUGAAUAUUUCAGCAUGGGAUGAUACAACAGGUCUUUGCGUCUAUUUUGUUGGUUUCUAGAAGGCGAAGAAAUGAUUAAUGGGAACAGUUAGGGGAAUUAAUAUUUUGCGGUCAGAGGUGAAAUUCUUGGAUUCGUGAAAGAUUAACUUCUGCGAAAGCAUUUUCCAGAGAUGUUUCCGUCAGUCAAGAACUAAAGUUGGGGGAUCGAAGAUGAUCAGAUACCGUCGUAGUCUCAACCAUAAACUAUGCCGACCAGGGAUUCGGGGCAAGUUAAUUGGACGACUCUCCGAGCACCUUGCGAGAAAUCAUUGAGUCUUUGGGUUCUGGGGGGAGUAUGGUCGCAAGGCUGAAACUUAAAGAAAUUGACGGAAGGGCACACCAAGAGUGGAGCCUGCGGCUUAAUUUGACCCAACGCGGGGAAUUUUACCAAGUCCGGACAGAAAAAGGAUUGACAGAUUAAAGCUCUUUCCUGAUUUUUUGGGUGGUGGUGCAUGGCCGUUUGUAGUUGGUGGAGUGAUUUGUCUGCUUAAUUGCGUUAACGAACGAGACCUCAGCCUACUAAAUAGUUAUGCGAACCUUCUGUUUGGUGAAGGCAAGGGGACAGUCUCUUCUUUCGGGAGGAGGCAUCCCCGUGCUGAAUCCUUGAUGCGUUCGUAGCGAUACUUCUUAGAGGGACAAUUGGUGUCAAGCCAAUGGAAGUUUGAGGCAACAACAGGUCUGUGAUGCCCUUAGAUGUCUUGGGCGGCACGCGCGCUACAAUGAUCGGUUCAACGAGUUUUUCACCUUGUGCGGAAGCACUGGGUAAUCUUUUCAAAGCCGUUCGUGUUGGGGAUAGAUCUUUGCAAUUUUGGAUCUUCAACGAGGAAUUCUUAGUAAGUGCAAUUCAUCAUAUUGCGUUGACUUCGUCCCUGCCCUUUGUACACACCGCCCGUCGCUCCAACCGAUAGCAGGAUCCGGUGAGAUCUCGGGAUGGCGGGUACACCCACGCGGGCAACUGUGUGGGUCGCACGCCAGAACUUGCUCGAACCUUAUCUUGUAGAGGAUGGAGAAGUCGUA
This 1298-nucleotide ribosomal RNA is filed under the name metagenome. Its description in RNAcentral is "SSU rRNA". It matches the Rfam family "Eukaryotic small subunit ribosomal RNA", at positions 558 to 1793 of the family's 1831-position model. The record is from RNAcentral.